GGCAUGGUGGCUUAGUGGUUAGCAUGUUUGCCUCACACGUCUAGUGUUGUGGGUUCAAUUGCUGCCUUUGCUG
This is a non-coding RNA of Pangasius djambal, 73 nucleotides long. NCBI's taxonomy places the organism in Eukaryota, Metazoa, Chordata, Actinopteri, Siluriformes, Pangasiidae. The record is from the annotation of a GenBank genome assembly.